UCCUGUUUAGCUGAGUUGGUAAAGUGCUCCCCUAGAAAUGGAGAAGUCCCUCCCUGGUUCGAUACCAGGACCAGGCG
RNAcentral lists this transfer RNA (77 nucleotides) under Ixodes scapularis (black-legged tick). RNAcentral's name for it is "tRNA-Ser for anticodon AGA". It matches the Rfam family "tRNA". From Rfam's summary of the family: Transfer RNA (tRNA) molecules are approximately 80 nucleotides in length. Lineage: Eukaryota; Metazoa; Arthropoda; Arachnida; Ixodida; Ixodidae. The record is from RNAcentral.